AGCAGCCGCGGUAAUUCCAGCUCCAAUAGCGUAUAUUAAAGUUGUUGCAGUUAAAAAGCUCGUAGUUGAAUUUCGGGGUCAGUAGGUCGGUCGUGCCACUGGUAUGAACUGGUUUCACUGAUCCCUCCCUCCUGAAGAACUGUAAUGCCAUUAAUUUGGUGUUGCAGGGAAUCAGGACUGUUACUUUGAAAAAAUUAGAGUGUUUAAAGCAGGCUUUAGCUUGAAUACAUUAGCAUGGAAUAAUGAAAUAGGACGUUUGAUCCUAUUUUGUUGGUUUCUAGGAUUGACGUAAUGAUUAAUAGGGAUAGUUGGGGGCAUUAGUAUUCAAUUGUCAGAGGUGAAAUUCUUGGAUUUAUUGAAGACUAACUACUGCGAAAGCAUUUGCCAAGGAUGUUUUCAUUAAUCAAGAACGAAAGUUAGGGGAUCGAAGACAAUCAGGUACCGUCGUAGUCUUAACCAUAAACUAUGCC
RNAcentral lists this ribosomal RNA (470 nucleotides) under uncultured Glomus. Its description in RNAcentral is "SSU rRNA". It matches the Rfam family "Eukaryotic small subunit ribosomal RNA", at positions 569 to 1043 of the family's 1831-position model. The record is from RNAcentral. Lineage: Eukaryota; Fungi; Glomeromycota; Glomeromycetes; Glomerales; Glomeraceae.